AUGGAGAUAUGUCAGUUGGUGUGCACUGACCGUGCUUAUGAAGAGCUCAUUCUUCUAUCAUACAAGAUGAAUUAUUUGUUUGAAUCUCUCACUUUGAUUCUUUUCACAUGGGGUCAUUCAGGCUUUCAGGGCAACCAUAGAUUCAGAAUUGUCCUUUUGGAGACCCAGCAACAGAAAAGCACAUCUUCUUUGACUGUGACAUUGGAGGGCUCGGGGAAAUGGAAAUGUACACCAGAUGAACCUAAAAGCUUAGAUCAAUAAGCGCUACAAUGCUUAAGAAGAAUCUUUAAACUGAGCCUUAACCUUACUGUGAUAUGUCCUAGAAAAAACACUGUUUCUGUUAGCAAGCUUGUUUUUAUGCUUCUCUUAAAUUGCUUUUUGUAUACCAAGGUGUAUGUUGCUAUAGGUAACUGUUAACAGGAAUACUUUGAGGUCAUAGGUAUAUUAUUAACUGGACAACACCAGUACACUUUUUUUUUUUUUUCAGUCUGCUUGCAGAACAGAUGCAGUCUUAGCAUUUAUAAAUGGCAGCUUGUAGUUAUAAGAGUCCAUAAAGACAAAUAACUUGUAUUGCCUUCUUAGAUUUUCAAUCCUCUUAUAAUGGAAAUAAGGUUUUGUCUUCUAGUGAAUACAAUUGUCACACAGUAAUUGAGUCCCAGAAAAAAAUCAUUAUACAUAUUUAUUAAAAAUGGUACUGUUUCAUUUAUCUUGUGAAACACUCAGUUCUUUCUGAUACCUUCCAGAACAUGUAGCUGUCUGCAAAGCAGACAUCAGUCGAUGUGAAUUCACAACGGGAAGUGCUAAUGCCCAGGUAGCAGAGGCUUAGGAGGCAAGGGUGUCCAGGUCAGGUGCUUGUCUGUGAGAAGUGCCAAAGCCAACAAAUACACUCUUGAAUCUUGUGGGGUCGAUGUUGUUACUGUGCCUGCUGCAGUUUGGAUAUCUGCAUGUAUAAAAAGAUGGGCUAAGCAGGCAGCAGUAGUGGUGGAAGGAGCCUUGUGAGUAAGAAAAAGAAUAUGGAUGGACAUGGCUGUGUGCUGGAAAGAAUACAGCCUGUAGGAGACAUUCAGGCUAUUUGCCUAGAGCACUCUAAUGUCUUGCUAUAAUUAGGAGCAAAUGACUGGAUGAGGAUCAAAUGAAAAGAGGAACUGAUGAUCACCC
RNAcentral lists this long non-coding RNA (1158 nucleotides) under Anas platyrhynchos platyrhynchos (common mallard). Its description in RNAcentral is "lncRNA (ENSAPLG00000024191.1)". The record is from RNAcentral. Lineage: Eukaryota; Metazoa; Chordata; Aves; Anseriformes; Anatidae.